GAUGAACGCUGGCGGCGUGCCUAAUACAUGCAAGUCGAGCGAACAGAUAAGGAGCUUGCUCCUUUGACGUUAGCGGCGGACGGGUGAGUAACACGUGGAUAACCUACCUAUAAGACUGGGAUAACCUCGGGAAACCGGAGCUAAUACCGGAUAACAUAUUGAACCGCAUGGUUCAAUAGUGAAAGGCGGCUUUGCUGUCACUUAUAGAUGGAUCCGCGCCGUAUUAGCUAGUUGGUAAGGUAACGGCUUACCAAGGCAACGAUACGUAGCCGACCUGAGAGGGGGAGUGGCCAAAAGGGAAAUGAGAAACGGGCCAGACCCCCACGGGAGGGAGCAGGAGGGAAAUCUCCGCAAGGGGGGGAAGCCCGAAGGAGGAAAGCCCCGGGAGGGAGGAAGGGUUUUGGAUUGGAAAAACCCGUUUUCAGGGAAAAAAAAAAGGGUAAGGAAACUGGGCAAAUUUUAAGGGAACCGAUUAGAAAGGCCAGGGCUAAUAAGGG
RNAcentral lists this ribosomal RNA (497 nucleotides) under uncultured bacterium. RNAcentral's name for it is "partial 16S ribosomal RNA". It matches the Rfam family "Bacterial small subunit ribosomal RNA", at positions 28 to 506 of the family's 1533-position model. The record is from RNAcentral.